Puntigrus tetrazona (Sumatra barb) is the source of this 4581-nucleotide long non-coding RNA. RefSeq lists it as uncharacterized. The transcript is spliced from 3 exons. The record is from RefSeq and is a predicted model, not a curated record. NCBI's taxonomy places the organism in Eukaryota, Metazoa, Chordata, Actinopteri, Cypriniformes, Cyprinidae.
AGGGGGAGUGGGGAGGAGAAGAGGGGGUGGAGAUGAGGUCAGUGUCACAAAAAUAUCUCUCACACAUAAUAAUGAAUGUGCUGCGUAAAUAUAUUUCAUACAUUUAAUAUAUAUAUUUUUUUAUUUUCAGCUGUUGCAACCGCAUGCAUGAACGCUUGUUUUAUUCGGAAAUAUAGAAUAGGAAUGUGAUGUCGCAUAAUAGCUAUUAGAAAAUAUAAUAUAGAGAUGCCAUGAGGAAAACGAUGCAAGGGAAAAAAUGCAUACCGCCUUCGUAGGAAAUCAUACUGCGGCUGUCGUUUGAAACCUGAAGCAUGAUAUGUUUUUAUUUGUUAUUAAAUAACAGUGCUGCUUGUUAGGUAAAAUGUGCUUUAAGAAUGCAAUUUGAUUAGGUUUAAUCUGGCACGUUAAAUUCAAUUAGCAUGCAAUUGUGUUUAAUGAGGAAAUGGCUAUUUGUUUGCUAGUGGGAGAUCAUUGCAGCAGUCUGCUGUAUGUUAUAUAUAUAUAUAUAUAUAUAUAUAUAUAUAUAUAUAUAUAAAUUUUGUAGACGCUUUUAUCCAAAGCAACAUUCAAAUGAGGACAAUAAAAGCAAACAAAGCCAACAAAAGUGCAAUAAUAUGCAAGUGUAAUGCAGUAUAUGUAGCAAGGUUUUGUUUUAUAAUAAAUAAAAAGAAAACAAGCAGACAGGAUUAUGGUACAACUGAGAAUGCUAGUAAAUAUAUAAUGCCCAUAUAGCAAACAAACACACAGUAUAAGGGAUAUAUCAUGCCCUCUGCUGGCAAAUGUGUUCUACAUUCUCAACCGUAUUCUGAAAACUGUAAAAGUUAAAAAUAUGUAAAAAAAAAAAAAAAAAAAAAAGGUAAUACAUAAGAGUAUGUAGUAUUUAUAGCAAUGGUGUGCUGAAGUGGGUUGAUGUGUAGCUUUAUGGUUAAAACCAUGUCUUUGACACAUCAUCCAUUCUAAUAAAGGAAGUCAGAUUCAUAUCCAAAAACAUAAAAAAAGAAAUGUGCAGUUCUACUGAAAAUACAACCCCUCUGUCACCACGCUGCCUUUACACAAGCAUCUUGAGUAGUUUCAGCAUUGCAAUUAGUCUCCUGAGAGCUUUCUUUAAUUGGGGAGCAUCUUAUAAAUGCAAGUUUGGUUGAGCUAAGUCUUUUAAUCUUUUAGCCACACAGUCUGUUUAACAAUCAAACCAGUUAACCCAAACAUCAUCUGUGAGCUUGUCAUAGGAAAGGCCAGACGACAGAGUCUCCUCCGUGCAUCUCCGCGUCUCCAUAACAGUGCAGAAUGUAGGACAAGUGAAAAUACUUGUUUUUUUUGUAGCCUGCUGAUGGCGGUUUUGCUCAGUAACUCUUUGUCCAUGUCAGUAGCCGUUAGGGACAGAAUGUCUUCUAUCUCAACCCUAGAAAAAAAGGUCCCUGUAAAGAUCCUCUAAGAAUUUCUAUAUCCAAUACAACAAGCUGUGACUUUGCUAAAGAGAAAAAUCGUGCACAGAAAAAAAUAUAAUGCAAAAUAUAAUGUUCUUUAAAUAAAUCACGGUCAUGGUGGUCACGGCUUAACCGAAUCUUCCAAACCUGACGUAACUUGAGUAUAAGCUCCAGCUUCACAGCCUGAACAAGAACAAUGACAUUAAUACUAAUCUAGGCAGAAUGGCAAGAAAACAGAAACAGAUGCUCCUUCAACAGCGAUGUGCCAAAACCACACAUUUACUCAAACUAUUAGUUGUACUGGUACGCUUUGCCCAGCUAAAAUUAGCCACUUUAUAUUUAAAACAGAUUGUUUUACUGCUGGUAAAAAUCUGUGAAGUCGUUCGGGUGUGUUUGAAAAGGAAUAAUGCUGCAUAUUUUGCGGUACGAACUCCAUAAUGCCUACUGCGUAUAACGGCAUGCUGAGGGUCUCUGUCACACGAGCGUAUGAGUAAUGCGCAUGUUGCUUUUUUAUCUUUUGUAGGUUGAUCAAGCAAUGACGUAUCACCUAAAAAUGAAAAUGUGUUUCUUAAUGGAAACAGAUUGGGAGAAACCGAGCAUUUCCUGUGGAUCCUCUGCAGUGAAUGGGUGCCGUCAGAAUCAGUCAGAACAGCUGAUAAAAACAUCACAAUAAUUCAUAACACGUACCACUCUAGUCCGUCAAGUAUAAAAUGCUGUCGAUUUGUAAUAAACACAUCCAGCAAUGCUUUUUUUUAACUGUAGCAUCUAGCCAAAAUAUUUCAGUAAAUCGAUAAUCCAUAAUAAUGCUUCCUCCAGUGAAAUUGUGAAUCUCCAUGUUGUCUUCCCACAUCAAAACACAUAUCAGCAGAAUUAAAUGACAGUGUAGAAAGCCAUAUUAUGUAUAGCAGACUUGUAUUUUACCAACAGUUUAAAGUAAAAUAAAAAUCUAUUACAAUGUUAUUACAUUAUCAUUAUGGCAUUAUAACAAAAUUGCAGCUUUUUGAGUCGAUGGAAUCAUUUCUGAAAAUCUGUUCUAGUAAACAAACAGAUCCACGUCUCGGAUUGCUUCAGUGAAUUUACAUUUUAGUGUACACUGUUUCCUUUAAUCUGGGUGUGGCUUGCAUACUGAAAAACAACACACCGCGCGCAGCAUACAUAGUGCACACUAAAAAUAGUAGCGUGCAUUAGUAACGGCGGUGUGACAUUUUGAACAUACCCUCAGGAGUUUUAAAUCUGUCGAGCUUUUAGAUUCCUUCUUUGAGCGUAGUAUUAUCUGAUUUGCAAAGUCACGCGUGUCUUUGUGCUUGGAGUGUUUGACUGCUUGAGUUUCUAAUUGGUAGUUCUGAAACAUCUUGAUUAAAUGAGUUGUGUGUUUCUUCAUUCUGGUAGUGGAUCAUUUACGAUGAUUGAGUUUUGUCUGGGUUUGAUUAAGCCGUAUCACUGAAAGCUAAUGAGUUGCUUUCAUGUUCUGCUCCUGUUUGGCCAUCUGGAUGAGUCUGAGAUGAAACAGUCACAGGCUAGGAUGGGAAUGGACAUUUGUAACGAGGAGAAGAACAUCUUACAAAGCCUCGACGAAGGACUGGAGGGACCGGUUCACUCUGGCCAUCAUCAUCAAUGAAAACACUCAUCUGUCUGGAAAAGCACAAUUUUCAAACAUUUCACAAUUCACUUUUUUAUUUAUGUGUUUGCAUUGAUACCUAGCAAACGAAAGCUGUAUCACUGGCUUCUGAAGACCUCUGCCGAAACACUUUAUGUAUACCUAAAAUAUUAAUACAUUAAUAAAUACUCAUUUUCACAGUUUAAUCUUAUGUUUAAAGGAAUGAUUCUGUUGAAAUACAAACUAAAUAACAGCUGCUUAUAGGCAAGCUUACAGUGAUUGCUCCAUGAAUAGAUUUCGAUCAACACAUUUUUUCUAAAAAUUCAGCAGCAUGCAGGAAUAUCCAAUUUUGUCUUUCUUGAAAAUGCUGGUUAUUGUCAUUGACUGAUGAUUUUUGUUAUUUUUGGUGAUAAAUGACAGCCUAUAAAAAUUGCUAAUGCUAUAUUAUUACCAAAAACUGAAUUCAAUUUGUUUAGGAAUUCAAAUAGGACAGUAUUUCAUUUAUGAUCUGAUUGAUUGUGUGCCUUAUUAAUCCGUUUUUUUUAAUUGCAGGUUUUGCAGGGUUUUUUCAGAGAUCCAAAACAUCAAUAUAAACUGUACAAACUUAACAAAAUAAAAAAAAAAUGACAAAAAGAUUGAACCCAAGAUUUGGUCACAAUGAGACAUGAUAAAAAAAACUGCAAGCAAUGUUUAAAAUGCUGGCCCUUUUUGACCCGGUAACGUAAAAUUAGCAGGUGCUGGACAUUGGCGACAGGCUUAUCAUUCUCAAUGAGUACACAGAGGAGAAGAGGACCUCAGGGAUUUGGUGGAGGCAGCUGGUUGCCAGAGCAACGGCAGGACUGAUAUUCAGGACAGGAACCUUUUGGGGCGAAUGAAAGUUUCUUCUUUCUUUCUGAUGCCACUGUUGAAGAGAAACAAAUGUAACGAUGAUAAAUGUUUCACCGUGACAGGCACGAUCCAGAACAAAUAGCUGAACGUAAAUGGCUCACAUAAAAGGAUUUCUAGUCAAGAAUAACCAUAGACAAUUGGAUAGUAUAAGCAGUGCGUGUGGGGAAAAAAAUGCAUUUGCUGGCUUGGAAACGUCACUCUCGAAGACCUACCAUUAAAGUUGAACUACAUUCGUUACCUCACCAUGGCAACGGGGCAGAAAAAUAAUGUUUCUGAAUAAAAAUCCUCGCUAGAAAAAAGAUUGCAUCAUCAUCACGAAUCUUAACUGCUCGAUUGCUUGCAUUGUCAAAAAUGUAAACUAUAUUAUCACAAAUAAUGCUCUAUAAACUCGCAAACAAAUCAUCAAUGACUGUCAAAACCAGGGAAAGGGCUUUUUAUGAAUGCUGCAUCCAUAUCCUGGGCAUUAUUCCACAUGCAUCCAUCGAUCUCCCCGUUUUAUGAGGUACAUGCACAAAAACACUUCAUCAAGAAGCCAAGCUCCCAGUGUUUUAUAGCAUCAUGCCUAUAAAUAAAGAUCUGUAAUGGAAUUGGCUUACCAUUUUAUAUUUGGAUUGUUUCAUUUGUAAUCGACUCCAUUGGACUGUACUUCCACAUCCCUGCCGGUUGCCUUAU